CAGAGGCUACCCUGCUUUCUGGCCCCAUUUCACAGACAACAGCACGGAGUCACAGAGAGGUGGUAAACUUGCCUGAGGGCUCACAACUAGCAGGGGAGAGGAUCCGCAGUGACUCAGUCUGGCUCUUGAGUCUGGCUUGUAGUUGUUACACCACUGCCGCCUUCCUCCCUGUUCCCACAGGAAUGCUCUCGGCUACAUGGGCGAGGAUGCUCUCCCUGGCGAUGCCACAGCUCCGUUAUUCCUGACGCCUCCUGAAGAUCCUUUUCCCUGCCCUUGACCGCCUUCCUCCUGGUCACUUACAGCCUGUGACUCAGUCACUGCCCCCACAGUGGCUCACAGGCUAGGGUGCUUCUAAGGAAGAGGAAGCUCCAGAAUGGGUGUACCGUGAGCCACCACGUGGCUAUGUCCUGGAGAGUUUGUUAGAAGGGCAUAUUCCUGCUCCGCAUCUGUAUUAAACUCUUCCCAUGCCCCUAUAAACUAACAUUUGAGAACACCAUUUCUCUUGCUUUUGUUUUAUCACAGGGCAUCCCUGCAAUAUUGCCUUGGGCUGGGGAAGAAAUGAGUUCUCCCCGAAGAUUUCCAGAAGGAACGCCGUCCUGCUGACACCAAGAUUUGGGCCCAGCGAGAUCCAUCUUGGACUUCUGACCUCUAGAACUGUAAGAUAGUAAGUUUGUGCUGUUCCAAGCCACUGAGUUUUUGAUAACACCCGUCGCUGUCUUCGUACCGACCGCUGCCGCCGGUGCUCGGUUUCCUUUCUGGGUGAGCAAGUGACAUCGCUUAUUGCGGCUGGGUCACACCAGACAGAAGGCACGGGACCCCUGUCCCCUCCGUCAAGGGGCCAAACCAAGCCUGAACUGAAGAACUGGGAAGGAAACCUUGCGCCUGCCCUGCCAUGGCUCUUCAGGGGAAGGGUCCUGCUCGCCUGGUCAGUCUCUGGACUGCUUUCACUCUGAGGAAUCUGGAUCAUGGGAAAAAAAUCAACAAAAGCCAAAAAAACUAAAGAGACACAUAAAGUCUCUCAUGAAGAAUUAGUUAAAUUGGACAAGUGCAAUAUAAUUCUGUGCCUGAAACAAGUGUAUGUAUAAAACCAAUGAGAGCUUAAAAAAAAUGAGAGUAUGUAAAUU
Manis pentadactyla (Chinese pangolin) is the source of this 1124-nucleotide long non-coding RNA. RefSeq lists it as uncharacterized. Lineage: Eukaryota; Metazoa; Chordata; Mammalia; Pholidota; Manidae. The transcript is spliced from 4 exons. The record is from RefSeq and is a predicted model, not a curated record.